RNAcentral lists this ribosomal RNA (207 nucleotides) under uncultured bacterium. RNAcentral's name for it is "partial 16S ribosomal RNA". It matches the Rfam family "Bacterial small subunit ribosomal RNA", at positions 568 to 774 of the family's 1533-position model. The record is from RNAcentral.
UGCGUAGGCGGGUUUCUAAGUCAGAGGUGAAAGCCUGGAGCUCAACUCCAGAACUGCCUUUGAUACUGGAAGUCUUGAGUAUGGCAGAGGUGAGUGGAACUGCGAGUGUAGAGGUGAAAUUCGUAGAUAUUCGCAAGAACACCAGUGGCGAAGGCGACCACCUGGACUGAUACUGACACUGAGGUGCGAAAGCGUGGGGAGCAAACA